GAUGAACGCUGGCGGCGUGCCUAAUACAUGCAAGUCGAGCGAACAGACGAGGAGCUUGCUCCUCUGACGUUAGCGGCGGACGGGUGAGUAACACGUGGAUAACCUACCUAUAAGACUGGGAUAACUUCGGGAAACCGGAGCUAAUACCGGAUAAUAUAUUGAACCGCAUGGUUCAAUAGUGAAAGACGGUUUUGCUGUCACUUAUAGAUGGAUCCGCGCCGCAUUAGCUAGUUGGUAAGGUAACGGCUUACCAAGGCAACGAUGCGUAGCCGACCUGAGAGGGUGAUCGGCCACACUGAAACUGAGCCCCGGUCCGGACUCCUACGGGAGGCAGCAGUAGGGAAUCUUCCGCAAUGGGCGAAAGCCUGACGGAGCAACGCCGCGUGAGUGAUGAGGUCUUCGGAUCGUAAAACUCUGUUAUUAGGGAAGAACAAAUGUGUAAGUAACUAUGCACGUCUUGACGGUACCUAAUCAGAAAGCCACGGCUAACUACGUG
RNAcentral lists this ribosomal RNA (496 nucleotides) under uncultured bacterium. Its description in RNAcentral is "partial 16S ribosomal RNA". It matches the Rfam family "Bacterial small subunit ribosomal RNA", at positions 28 to 507 of the family's 1533-position model. The record is from RNAcentral.